GUGCCAGCCGCCGCGGUAAUACCGGCAGCUCGAGUGAUGGCCGAUUUUAUUGGGCCUAAAGCGUCCGUAGCCGGCCGAGCAAGUCCAUCGGGAAAUCCGCCAGCCCAACUGGCGGGCGUCCGGUGGAAACUGCACGGCUCGGGACCGGAAGACCCGAAGGGUACGUCUUGGGUAGGAGUGAAAUCCCGUAAUCCUGGACGGACCACCGAUGGCGAAAGCACUUCGGGAAGACGGAUCCGACGGUGAGGGACGAAAGCCAGGGUCUCGAACCGGAUUAGAUACCCUAGUAGUCC
This 293-nucleotide ribosomal RNA is filed under the name uncultured bacterium. RNAcentral describes it as "partial 16S ribosomal RNA". It matches the Rfam family "Archaeal small subunit ribosomal RNA", at positions 455 to 747 of the family's 1478-position model. The record is from RNAcentral.